Molecule: ribosomal RNA, 446 nt
Filed under: uncultured bacterium
Lineage: Bacteria
Description: partial 16S ribosomal RNA
Rfam family: Bacterial small subunit ribosomal RNA
Source: RNAcentral
CCUACGGGAGGCAGCAGUCGAGAAUCAUUCACAAUGGGCGAAACCCUGAUGGUGCGACGCCGCGUGGGGGAAUGAAGGUCUUCGGAUUGUAAACCUCUGUUAUGUGGGAGCAAAUUAAAAAGAUAGUACCACAAGAGGAAGAGACGGCUAACACUGUGCCAGCAGCCGCGGUAAUACAGAGGUCUCAAGCGUUGUUCGGAAUCACUGGGCGUAAAGUGUGCGGAGGCUGUUGCGUAAGUCGUGUGUGAAAGGCGCGGGCUCAACCCGCGGACGGCACAUGAUACUGGGAGACUAGAGUAAUGGAGGGGGAACCGGAAUUCGCGGUGUAGCAGUGAAAUGCGUAGAUAUCGAGAAGAACACUCGUGGCGAAGGCAGGUUCCUGGACAUUAACUGACGCUGAGGCACGAAGGCCAGGGGAGCGAAAGGGAUUAGAUACCCUUGUAGUC